This is a long non-coding RNA of Acanthochromis polyacanthus (spiny chromis), 984 nucleotides long. RefSeq lists it as uncharacterized. The transcript is spliced from 2 exons. The record is from RefSeq and is a predicted model, not a curated record. Lineage: Eukaryota; Metazoa; Chordata; Actinopteri; Pomacentridae.
UGUUUGUUUUCAUGAUCAAAAUGAAAGAUCAAGUGGCCGAUCUUAAAAUAAAUCAAUAUCGAUUUUUUUAUUUAUUAAGUUUUGCGACGCAAGGGGGCGUGGUUACCUGAUUGACAGUUCGUCUGGAAUGACUGACAGUCUGGAGGAUUAAUUCUGAUAUGGUCACUGGUGGUUUAUCGGUGAAGAAGCAGAACCUUUUCCACAGACACUUUUCCUGCCUGUUGGCUUGUUUUAACCAUUUUGCUACCUUCGGCUGAUUCUACCAGCAGACACUGAAACUUCGGUGUCUCAUGUUCACUGUGAGGAUCUUCUGAGUGAAGCCAACAGAAGGAAAACCUCAUCUGGUUGUGAAGGAGACUGAAUGGACGACAUCCUCAGUGAACCACUUCCUGUUUAACUUUCACUGACAGAAGGACAGACCAACUCUUUCAGCAGUUUAUUAUUCUCUGUUCUUAGUAUUCACAGAUUCUAUUUAUCACCUUUAACUUCAUCUCUGCUGCUGUAGCAGAAAUACAACAAGGUUUCUGCAGAACAUUAAUAGUCAUUAAGUUGAUUUUGCAGAAAUUAAGGCCUUAAAUGACAUUAAAAAUCAUUAAAUUUGAUUCUCGGUGGCAUUAAAAUUUCUUUCUGCAGUUUUCAAGAAAAUAAUUGACAAUAAUAUAUAUUUAUAGACUGCGAUUUGUCAGAUAUGUCCAUCUGCGUAAACAUGCCAAAGCAUUGAGAUAAUUGUUCCAGCCGGGUGGGUACAAUUUCUAAAAACUGCAUGUUUUUAAAGUGGCUGGCAGGCUGGACCAGGCUGGGAAAUGGGGAAACACAAAUUCUAGCAAAAAUGGCUGAAAAACGUGGAUUUCAGAGAAUGACUGCAGCCCGUUGGUGUUCAGGGGUGGUUCCCAGAUUCAGAAAUAGUCAAAUGUAGGGUUUUCAUAUAAAAAUCAUCUUUUACAAAAAAAAAAUAACAAACCCGUGUAAUUUGAGUUCAUGGUC